This 666-nucleotide long non-coding RNA is filed under the name Mytilus galloprovincialis (Mediterranean mussel). The record is from RNAcentral. Lineage: Eukaryota; Metazoa; Mollusca; Bivalvia; Mytilida; Mytilidae.
CAUCUUUAGCCCCUCUUUUAUUGCCAUGCCAUUGUCAGUUUAUUUUCAACUUAUUAGUUCGAAUGUUCUUUAGGCAUCUUUAGCCCCUCUUUUAUUGCCAUGACAUUGUCAGUUUAUUUUCAACUUAUUAGUUCGAAUGUUCUUUAGGCAUCUUUAGCCCCUCUUUUAUUGCCAUGCCAUUGUCAGUUUAUUUUUAACUUAUUAGUUCGAAUGUUCUUUAGGCAUCUUUAGUCUCUCUUUUCUUGCCAUGCCAUUGCCAGUUUAUUUUUAACUUAUUAGUUCGAAUGUUCUUUAGCAUCUUUAGUCUCUCUUUUAUUGCCAUGCCAUUGUCAGUUUAUUUUCAACUUAUUAUUUCGAAUGUUCUUUAGGAAUCUUUAGCCUCUCUUAAGGUGGUACCUAACACUACAGGGAGAUAACUCUGUAAUAUCAGCUAAACGUUUUAAUUACGUUGCGUUGUGAAGGCAAUAUAAAGCUUCUCAAUGAUCAAAAUUAGUGUUUGUCAAACUGCUUUAUAACCAGUGUAAUUUUUCUGAUAAAACGCUUGGUUCAAAUUUUUUCAUUUUUUUAUAUUUUUGUUAAAGGGUCAAAGUAAAUACUUUGUAAAAAUUGUAUGAAAAUUAAACGAGCCAAAUUAAUUUUAGUGAAAGUGUUGGGUACCACCUUAAU